CCGUAGUUCAAUUGGAUAGAGCAUCUGACUUCGGAUCAGAAUGUUGCAGGUUCGAAUCCUGCCGGGUG
Molecule: transfer RNA, 68 nt
Filed under: marine eukaryotic metagenome
Rfam family: tRNA
About the family: Transfer RNA (tRNA) molecules are approximately 80 nucleotides in length.
Source: RNAcentral